UGACCGAGUCUGCGAGGAUCGCCCGU
RNAcentral lists this non-coding RNA (26 nucleotides) under Homo sapiens (human). Lineage: Eukaryota; Metazoa; Chordata; Mammalia; Primates; Hominidae. The record is from RNAcentral.